AGGCUUUUUAAAACCAUUUAACAAAAAAACAAACAAACAAACAAAAAAACCAAACCAAACCAAACCUUCUCCUCUUGCAGCAUAGGACCUGAGAUUUGUCUCCCCACCUGAAGAACCAAAGGAGGAGAGCGAUUUCCUGGGACUUCAGCUGGUGCCCUGCAACCUGCCAACCCUGCCUUGGAAGAGAAGGAAGGAUGAUGUUUAGUUUAACCCUACCUGAUGCACCCCAGCUGUCUGGAACUGCCAUCAUCCUCAGUUAUAUGAAUCUCUCAUGGCCCAGCUGAUGGGGAAGACUGGAUUUGUACCCUAAUAAGUCUUUCCUCUUCAUGGAGAAACAGGACCUUAAUAAACCACGGUAAAGUAAGUAUUGCA
Molecule: long non-coding RNA, 372 nt
Filed under: Pogona vitticeps (central bearded dragon)
Lineage: Eukaryota; Metazoa; Chordata; Lepidosauria; Squamata; Agamidae
Description: lncRNA (ENSPVIG00000018495.1)
Source: RNAcentral